Molecule: non-coding RNA, 3281 nt
Organism: Petromyzon marinus (sea lamprey)
Lineage: Eukaryota; Metazoa; Chordata; Hyperoartia; Petromyzontiformes; Petromyzontidae
Source: RefSeq, a predicted model, not a curated record
CACACAGUGAGCAUCACACACACACACACCGGAGGCAUCACACACACACAGUGAGCAUCACACAAACACAUGACGAUGAGCAACGCCUUACAGGGCGGCCACAGCCCCACUGGGUCGCACCCCGCACCGCGCCUGCGCCCAGGGCUGAAGGCGCAUGUCUCGUGCGAGGCGGGCCGUGCCGAGAGAGUUGAGCACCGGCGGCUUGCGGGUGAGAGCGCGAGACGGACAAGACGGAGGAGUGAGAGAGAGGGGUUGAGGGGGAGGUUGGCAUGGAGGAGGGGAGGGGGGGGAGUCUGAGAGGAGACUGCGAGCGAGAGGAGAGAGAGGCCGAACCGCGACAGCUCCCCAGACGCGCGAGCCGGCCACUGACGGGACCACGCCUCCUCGCGGGUCAUGCCCCGCCCACCACCCCGCCCACAGAGACGGACGCCCCUCCCACAAUGAUGGCAGCCCCCGCCUGUCACGCACGGACCACGCCCGUCGAGACGAACGCCCCGCCUACAAUGAGAGGGAGCCCCGCCCGCAACGCAAUCAACCACGCCCAUCAAGACGGACUCACAGGGACAUCUCGGCCUUCAAAGGCAUAUGCGACCCUAUCCUCUCGAAGGCGGGAAACCCCCAAGUCACGCCCAGCCUGGUGAUGUCACAACGCCUUCAUCCACCACCUCAUGUAACAGCGUCACACGUGGGAACAGAGGUGCGUGACGUCAUUUAUGGACGGUCCCCUUGUCAGGAGAAGCAAACCGUGGACCAUCUCGCCGAGGCGCCCUGCAGCACCCACAAUGCACUCCCAUAAGAUUUGGCAAUGCCAACGCCAAGAGCGGUGGCCUGUGCAGAAUAUUGGGGAGAAGACUCACAUGGGUUGGACGGGAGACACGGCGAAGAGGAGGAAGACAGCAUCACUGACUGUCAGGCUCUCCGACGGCAAACAAACGCAUUUCAAAAUCACCUCCACGGAACACGGAGUGCGUCCCAAAGUGUUGUGCCUGCCAUUCAUUGUACGUGGCGGCAAACGUGUGCGUGCCCGUAGCCCGUCGCUGGGAUGACGGAGCGGGACAGUUCGGUAGGGAACGCGUGUGUGUGUGUGUGAAUUUGUUUUAAAGGAGUCUUCUGUUGGCAUUUUGCUUGAUGUCUUUGCUCAGUUUUGCAGACUUUGUAAUUUAUUUUGCGCCACUCCGUAGCCAAAGGCUAGGGAGCUGGACGCAUGAACGUCGUCGUGACAUUUUGUGUGACUGCACUGCUCAUCCAGUGACGUGAUUGCAUUAAUCAUGUACCAGAGUUACGUGACACAAUUGAAAAUCCAGCAAACCGAGCAUUACAAUACUAAUGUAAUUAAACAGAGUUGUCCUUCACCGCGUUGCAUUACUGGGCUGUGACGGGUAAAAUUAAGUGGCUCAUUCGAGCAAGUGUGUUAGCCUUUCCCUUGGCGGUUCAGCCAAAUGGCUCCUGUCCAUAAUUCCAACCAUCUAUAGACAACAACUGUUCCGCCACUGUUAAGAUGCGCAUUAUCCAUAUUUCCACGCAUUUCCAUCGUGUCAUCAAUCUGACAAGGUGGCAACGAGGUCAAGACAUCUGUUCACGUUCAUCCCAAAAAAUACACCCACAAAGGAUACAUUGAGAUGCGUUAGAACUCCUUUCUUCUGCGGUAAUGCGGCAGGAACUGGCAUCACGGAUCCCUAUUACACUGGCCUAGAAUUUUUUUUAGACGUCGUCUGCUUCAGAGAUGAAAUGCGCUGUUUAUUGUGGAUUUUUACGUGCAGAAUUAAAAUAUGACAAUUAAAAACAACUGAUUGCCUACUGUUCCCCAAUAUAUUUAAGUUUUUACGUUUUUCGUCUAUGUAUAUUUGUGUAGAUAGUAGUAGUUUUACUCGUGAAUUGUAAACCUAUGGUCUUUUCAUGUGUUUAUGGUUGCUUUACGUGAUAACACGUCACCUGUCCUGUUCAUUUAACACUUUAAAAUAAUAGAAUUAUCAGUGACGUCAUCCAACGAAUUGACUCCACUUGUCCGUUAAAAAAAAAACGUACAAAUGCGGAUAUAAAAAUGGUGAAUUUCGCUGUUGGCUCCUCUUAUCCCAAUUUGUUAUUCGUUGGCAACACUGCAGUGGUACACGAGCACGAAUGACAAAAAAAAUCAACAAAUUCGUCACAAGAACAGUGUUGAAAGGAAACAUCGGUCGCAUUUUAGAUAUAUUUUUAUUACUAUUAUAUUCUUAGCUCUUUCGGUAAAAGCAAUAUAUAUUUUUUCUCCUUAAGGCAGGGUGCAGUUCAGGAAAUGUUAACGACUGAACUGUAGAUUACAAUAAGCCCUGUCUUUUCUUCACUUGGUUUCCAAACUAGUCGCGCCGUUUGUGCGUGAUGAUUAUUUCUGAUUAUAAAGUAAGACGUGAGAGAACACAUUCAAUGCUUGACUUAAAGCUUUCGUGACUGCAGGAAUUCAUAUUCUUUGGGUCUUUCGGUAAAGUCACGUAGAUGGUCUCUCUUUCCUCCUGAUGACGAUCGCUUGUGUUGUGAUCGAAACGUCGUAGUUUUUGGUUAUUUUCUUUCAACCUAUCUACGUGACUUUACUUUCAAUGCUGUACGCUAAUAUUGUUCAUGCGUGAAGCACAUUCCACAUACAGCAGGAAUUACAAUUAUUGUACUGGACAGCACAUGGAUAUCCAACUGUCCGCAAAAGUGUAUUAUUCAAGGGUAACAUUUAAUGUACGAAUGCCCUAAUUACUGAGUGGUAUUAAAAAUUACACUCCAGGUGCAAAUCCAUGUUUGUACCCAAAAGCCCAUUAUUACUCCUGCACACACAUUGUCAAUGUAUGCUGUUGUCAGGCUAACUGGACUCUAAAGAUAUAAUUUUUCAGUAUUUUUAUUUUAACGUGAUGUGUGUGCCAUGCAAUGCGUGUACUGUAUAGAAAAAGGGUGUUUCCAUUUUAUCCAAAAAGCAAUGUACCUUGGGGUAAUGCAGUCGCUGUAUGAUGUUGCAGCACAGAUGCUCAGUAAUUGGUUUCUCAGACUGUGAUGCCAUUGUGACCUAUGCACCAGUUACUAUGGCUGUCAUAAACCUUGCCACGGCAAUGUUUUAAGUGGGCAAAAACAGUUUGCUGCAAGUAACAAUACCUUUCAUUCAAAGCCAAUGUGUUUUUUUAUGGAUAAGUUUUAAACCUGGCUUGCUCCCAAAUUGAUUAUAUAAUGGCGACAACCACAUGCAUAGCCAUGUUUCACUACGGUGUGGGGAGCGGUGGUGUUUUGUGGUUGAUGCGCUGGGCUACGAAGCCGGCGACCCGAAUUCG